GAUGAACGCUGGCGGCGUGCCUAAUACAUGCCAGUCGAGCGAACAGACGAGGAGCUUGCUCCUCUGACGUUAGCGGCGGACGGGUGGGUAACACGUGGAUAACCUACCUAUAAGACUGGGAUAACUUCGGGAAACCGGAGCUAAUACCGGAUAACAUGUUGAACCGCAUGGUUCAACAGUGAAAGACGGUUUUGCUGUCACUUAUAGAUGGAUCCGCGUCGCAUUAGCUAGUUGGUAAGGUAACGGCUUACCAAGGCAACGAUGCGUAGCCGACCUGAGAGGGUGAUCGGCCACACUGGAACUGAGACACGGUCCAGACUCCUACGGGAGGCAGCAGUAGGGAAUCUUCCGCAAUGGGCGAAAGCCUGACGGAGCAACGCCGCGUGAGUGAAGAAGGUCUUCGGAUCGUAAAACUCUGUUAUUAGGGAAGAACAAAUGUGUAAGUAACUAUGCACGUCUUGACGGUACCUAAUCAGAAAGCCACGGCUAACUACGUG
This 497-nucleotide ribosomal RNA is filed under the name uncultured bacterium. RNAcentral's name for it is "partial 16S ribosomal RNA". It matches the Rfam family "Bacterial small subunit ribosomal RNA", at positions 28 to 507 of the family's 1533-position model. The record is from RNAcentral.